UGCAAAGGCCUUCUCCUCGGAUAUUUGAUUAUUCAUUGCGGUACUCUGAGGCACUUAGAUACUCACCGUGUUCCUCAAAGUAUUCAAUCAAUCUUUUUAAGAACGCAUCACUAACCACUGUGUCAGUGUCACAGACAAGGCAACACUGUCUUCUUGCCCGUGUCACAGCUACAUUCAUUCGUCUGUGAUCACUCAAAAACCCCACCUCUUUCUUUGAGUUUGAUCGAACCAUAGAAAUAAUAAUGGCUUCCUUCUCUCGGCCUUGGAAACCAUCAACUGUUGAGAUUUCCAUAUCCUUUAGCUUAUCUUCAUUGCUCUUCAAUAUCUUCAGCAAGACAACCUGAGCUGCAUAAGGGGUAAUUAUUCCAAUAUCAGAAGCCUGAACACCACUCUCAACAAGUCUCUUUGCAUGGGCCACAGCAACUUCAGCUUCUCCUUCAUUCAAUGUGCUAUCUUCUUCAUCUUUCUUUUCCUCCAUGUCACAUCCAGCAAUGUCUAUGAGAAGAAGGGUCUGUUCUGUGGAUGAAGACCUCUUUACACGUUCAAGAUCAAGAAGCUUAUGUGCAGCAACACUAGCAUGGGCCUUGAUCUUACUAUCAUACAGCUCCUUAGAUGACCAGUUCAUAAUAAGUUCAUGCAUUCGGUACUGGACAGUGAGCAUAGAAGUAACUUCAUCACCAUACAAGUCUGCAAGGCGUUCAAAGAGAGUUCUUCCUAAGCCUUUCUUCUCAGCUUCAACACUUUGGAUGGUUGGAGGAAGCUGAAGAUGGUCUCCUGCAAGAAUACACCUUGAACCCUUUAAUAAAGCAAUCCAGCAAGCUAUUUCAAGCGCCUGAGCAGCUUCAUCAAUAAUGACCAAAUCAAAUGAAGUACUGUCCAGCUUGUGAGAUAAUGCACCAGUCAAGGUUGUCAACACCACAUCAGCAUUUUUAAUUACAUCUGACACAGCUAGUUGCUGUCUUUUGCGUUCUUCUUUUGAAAGAGACCGGAGCUCCCUUUGGAUGUCUCUUCUAGUGCUUUUGUCCUUGGUUUUUAACAACUUUCCAUUUAGUGCCUUCAUCUCCUUCCUGAUGUCUUUUGCAAGAGCACUAUUGUCCCCCUUUAGUACCUGUGCAUCAAGCGCACUGUCCAACACUUGAGGUAGCAAGCGUGCAGGAUGCCCCAAUCUCACCAACUUUAUUCUGUGGCGAACAAGCCGCUCAACAAUGUUGUCCACAGCAAUAUUUGAAGCAGCACAAGCAAGGAUCUUUGAUCCACGUUUCACUUCUUGCAAUAUGAUUUCCACCACGGUUGUAGUUUUUCCAGUUCCAGGUGGCCCAUGCAGCAAAAAUACAUUCUUUGAUGACAAGGCCUUUGAAAUUGCUUCUUUCUGAGAAUGAUCAAGAUUGGAGUUAAAUGGCGUGAAUGUAACACCCUUCUUUGCUACUGUUGGCGGUCUCUCUCCAAAUAGGACAGGAAUUAAAUCAGCAGCAGGGCCCUUCUGCACACCUUUGCUCAAUUGAAUUAAUGCUUCCUUCAUCCUACGAUAUGUCACCUCAUUUGCCACUUUCUCCAAACGUAGGGGACUAUUUAAACCCUCUUCUGGUAUAUCAUCAAAAGCAACAGUAAUAGAGGAAUCCUUUAGGCGGUAAACCACACCUUGCCCAAGAGCAGGAGAUCCGACAUCAGCUUUGUUUGGUUUCAAAACCACCACAUCAUGAGGGCUGAACUUGUGAGCAGGAAGAACGUCCCCCUUAUUAGAUUGGAACUCAAGAAGAGUUUUCCCCAUAAGCCCUGUCUGAGCAUCAACACACUUCAAAUUGAGAAUUGUAGAACCCCUCUUUUGAGCACUAUCCAAGUUUCUAGACGCCCCUGAACUGAUAGAAGCUGAUAUCUCAGCUUCCUUUUCCAAAUCAAUUAAAGGAGCCAUAAUAGAGACGAAUUCUUGGAGUGAGAGAGCUGAAGCCUUCUUCUUUGUCUUAUCCCUCUCCGUCGCCAUUGCAAUGCGCUACCAAUGCUAUGCUGUCUUGUCUCGUAACCCUAUGAAGAAUGAGAGAUCGAAAGUGUAGAGUGUCGCCGCGGACGAUAGCUACUGCUCGUUUGCAACUGCAACUGAUGAAAACCAAUUUGACCUGCGCUUCUCUAUGGAGAUUCUAAAGCUCAUCGUUUGUUGUUCGUGGUGGCUGCAAUUUUCACUU
RNAcentral lists this unclassified non-coding RNA (2177 nucleotides) under Hevea brasiliensis (rubber tree). The record is from RNAcentral. Lineage: Eukaryota; Viridiplantae; Streptophyta; Magnoliopsida; Malpighiales; Euphorbiaceae.